UUCUUCGGGGCAGGGUGCAAUUCCCUACCGGCGGUACAGCCCGCGAACUGUGCGAAAGCACAGCCGAUCCGGUCAGAUUCCGGAGCCGACAGUAUAGUCUGGAUGAGAGAAGAG
RNAcentral lists this non-coding RNA (114 nucleotides) under pig gut metagenome. RNAcentral describes it as "FMN riboswitch (RFN element)". It matches the Rfam family "FMN riboswitch aptamer (RFN element)". From Rfam's summary of the family: The RFN element is a highly conserved domain that is found frequently in the 5'-untranslated regions of prokaryotic mRNAs that encode for flavin mononucleotide (FMN) biosynthesis and transport proteins. The record is from RNAcentral.